CCUAUGUUGUAGGGAAGUCCUAAGUAGGCAGAUCAAUGCUACGGUUUGGUGGAUUUUGGACUGAACAGAGGAAGACUUGUGUUACUGGCUCACCUUGCUCUGGAACCAUCUUUCAGCCUCCCUGCGAUUUUUCUCAAUAAGCAUCUCAUACUGAGCUCUCAUCUCCUGCAACUCCUUAUCAAGAUCUGGCUGAGCUGCACAGUCCAUCUCCACGUUCACAGAGCCGCUUUGCCUCUCUCGCAACAAAUGAAGAUCCUGUGGAGAAAGAAGAGGAGGGAAAGAGCACAACUCCUCUUUCAGUCCAGUUAGCUGGUUAUCCAGGUCUCCAAUGGACAGCUUCAUCUCUCCCAGAAUCCCUCGCAGUCGAGCCGAAU
Molecule: long non-coding RNA, 374 nt
Organism: Rhinichthys klamathensis goyatoka
Lineage: Eukaryota; Metazoa; Chordata; Actinopteri; Cypriniformes; Leuciscidae
Exons: 3
Source: RefSeq, a predicted model, not a curated record